AUACGUAGGGUGCGAGCGUUGUCCGGAAUUACUGGGCGUAAAGAGCUCGUAGGUGGUUUGUCGCGUCGUCUGUGAAAUUCCGGGGCUUAACUCCGGGCGUGCAGGCGAUACGGGCAUAACUUGAGUACUGUAGGGGAGACUGGAAUUCCUGGUGUAGCGGUGAAAUGCGCAGAUAUCAGGAGGAACACCGGUGGCGAAGGCGGGUCUCUGGGCAGUAACUGACGCUGAGGAGCGAAAGCAUGGGUAGUGAACAGGAUUAGAUACCCUGGUAGUCCAUGCCGUAAACGGUGGGCGCUAGGUGUAGGGGUCUUCCACGACUUCUGUGCCGUAGCUAACGCAUUAAGCGCCCCGCCUGGGGAGUACGGCCGCAAGGCUAAAACUCAAAUGAAUUGACGGGG
RNAcentral lists this ribosomal RNA (398 nucleotides) under uncultured bacterium. RNAcentral's name for it is "partial 16S ribosomal RNA". It matches the Rfam family "Bacterial small subunit ribosomal RNA", at positions 523 to 918 of the family's 1533-position model. The record is from RNAcentral.